Long non-coding RNA from Ornithorhynchus anatinus (platypus), 856 nucleotides. RefSeq lists it as uncharacterized. The record is from RefSeq and is a predicted model, not a curated record. NCBI's taxonomy places the organism in Eukaryota, Metazoa, Chordata, Mammalia, Monotremata, Ornithorhynchidae. The transcript has 3 exons.
ACAAAGUAAUCACGUUGGACAGUGUCUCUGUCCCACAGGGGGCUCACACUUUUAAUGGAGAAGACAGGCAGACAUAAUAGUUGACAGCCACAUACAUGAGAAGCCUAUCAGUUGUCAGGUCAUUCUCACCCAGAGAAAGCAUCUCAAAGGAGCCCAGUACCCUUUGUGGUCAUAUUGCCCUCCUGAAGGGAGAUAGAAACAUUAAAAACAUUUCCUACGCGUAUCUUUGAAAGCCUCUAAUCCAAAAACUAACCAACUGAGCUAGCGCCAAGGAUCCACUAAUACCAAACAUUCUAAUUCUCAUCAAAAGGACAUCUGAAAGUCUGCAGAAUUCAGGACGCUCUAAAACAGUGCAAUUUACACCACUUUAACAACCUAUUGUUUAACACUUUGCCCACACAGGUGGUCCAGAACCCAUGACUGUCAGAGUUAUGAUGAGUGGCCCAUCCCAAGUCUCCGAACUGAGCCUUGUCGGAUAAACAACUUUACAUCGACGGGAUUAUAAGCCAGCACCGGACCGAACCCAAUCCAAAGAAAUGAGAAUCUACUUUAUUCCGGUCCACGGCACCGCCAGCCAGGCAGCCCUCAGCUCUCUCCUCCGCUGUUGCCGUCUCCGUGGAAAAAAGGAGCAGGAGGACAAUUCCACCUCUGGAUGUGGCACCAAGGAGAAUGCUGAGGCAUUCUCAACUGCUAUGCACAAUGUCAGCGCUCAAUACCACCUCAGAGGAAUGUGAGAUUUCAAAGGCUUCCACCAGAGGAGGCUCCCUGUGAACCCAACUAGCUUCUAGAAGCGGCGUGGCCUAGUGGAGGGGGCCUGGAAUCCGGGAGUCAGAAGGACUUGGGUUCUAAUCCCGGC